RNAcentral lists this long non-coding RNA (1332 nucleotides) under Salmo salar (Atlantic salmon). Its description in RNAcentral is "lncRNA (ENSSSAG00000112545.1)". Lineage: Eukaryota; Metazoa; Chordata; Actinopteri; Salmoniformes; Salmonidae. The record is from RNAcentral.
CUUGAUCAUCUCUAUCCAAAACAGGGGAUCUCUGCUGUAACGUGACAUUUUCUAACGCUCCCAUAGGCUUUCAGAAGGCACCAGAACGUUGAAUGAUGACUUUGCAGGCCAUGGUUGAAAAACAGUAGCACAUUUGGUAAGUGGUCGAUCUGAGAACAAUGAGACUGGUGCGCGCGUGCACGAGACGACUCCAUGUUUUCAUUUUCAGUCUUUGAACGAAAACAACGACUCUCGGAAUAUUAUCGCUUUUUUGCGAGAAAAAUUACAUAAAAUUGAUUUUAAACAGAGUUUGACAUGCUUCUAAGUACGGUAAUGGAAUAUUUUGAAAAUUUUUGUCACGAAAUGCGCCGGGCACGUCACCCUUCGUUACCCUUCGGAUAGUGUCUUGAACGCACAACAAAACGCCGCAAUUUGGAUAUAACUAUGGAUUAUUUGGAACCAAACCAACAUUUGUUAUUGAAGUAGAAGUCCUGGGAGUGCAUUCUGACGAAGAAGAGCAAAGAUUGGAAUGUCUGCAGUGCAAGGUGUUCUACAGUGGAUGGACAAAGAGACGCCUUCAAGACCGCUUAGCAGAACACAAGUAUGCCAUACGGGUAGGCAAUGAAGACUACCCGUAUGGCAAGGCACUACAAGUCCUUAAACAUUUACAUUUACAUUUACGUCAUUUAGCAGACGCUCUUAUCCAGAGCGACUUACAAAUUGGUGCAUUCACCUUAUGAUAUCCAGUGGAACAACCACUUUACAAUAGUACAUCUAUAUCCUUUUUUUUUGGGGGGGGGGGGUUAAAAGGAUUACUAUAUCCUAUCCCAGGUAUUCCUUAAAGAGGUGGGGUUUCAGGUGUCUACGGAAGGUGGUGAUUGACUCCGCUGUCCUGGCGUCGUGAGGGAGCUUGUUCCACUAUUGGGGUGCCAGAGUAGCGAACAGUUUUGACUGGGCUGAGGGGGAACUGUGCUUCCGCAGAGGUAGGGGGGCCAGCAGGCCAGAGGUGGAUGAACGCAGUGCCCUUGUUUGGGUGUAGGGCCUGAUCAGAGCCUGAAGGUACGGAGGUGCCUUUCCCCUCACAGCUCCGUAGGCAAGCACCAUGGUCUUGAAGCAGAUGCGAGCUUCAACUGGAAGCCAGUGGAGUGUGCGGAGGAGCGGGGUGAUGUGAGAGAACUUGGGAAGGUUGAACACCAGACGGGCUGCGGCGUUCUGGAUGAGUUGUAGGGGUUUAAUGGCACAGGCAGGGAGCCCCGCCAACAGGGAGUUGCAGUAAUCCAGACGGGAGAUGACAAGUGCCUGGAUUAGGACCUGCGCCGCUUCCUGUGUAAGGCAGGGUCAUACUCUGCGAAU